GAUGAACGCUGGCGGCGUGCCUAAUACAUGCAAGUCGAGCGAACAGACGAUGAGCUUGCUCCUUUCACGUUUGCCGCGGGCGGGUGUGUAACACGUGUAUCACCUCCUUAUCAUACUGGUAUAAUUUCGGAACACGGGAUCAAAUCCCGGAUAAUAUAUUGAUCCGCGUGGUGCAUUGGAGAAUGUCGGCUUUGCUGUCUGUUCUAGAUGCAUCCCAGCCGCAUUAGCUAGUUGGUAAGGUAACGGCUUACCAAGGCGACGAGGCGUAGCCGACCUGAGAGGGUGAUAGGCGACACGAGAACGGAGACACGGUCCAGGCUACUACGGGAGGCAGCAGUAGGGAAUCUUCCGCAGUAGGCGAAAGCCUUACGGAGCAACGCCGCGUGAGUGAUGAAGGUCUUCGGAUCGGAAAACUCUGUUAUUAGGGAAGAACAAAUGUGUAAGUAACUAUGCACGUCUUGACGGUAACUAAUCAGAAAGCCACGGCUAACUACGUG
Molecule: ribosomal RNA, 497 nt
Filed under: uncultured bacterium
Lineage: Bacteria
Description: partial 16S ribosomal RNA
Rfam family: Bacterial small subunit ribosomal RNA
Source: RNAcentral